AGAGUUUGAUCCUGGCUCAGGACGAACGCUGGCGGCGUGCUUAACACAUGCAAGUCGAACGGAAAGGCCCUUCGGGGUACUCGAGUGGCGAACGGGUGAGUAACACGUGGGUGAUCUGCCCUGCACUCUGGGAUAAGCCUGGGAAACUGGGUCUAAUACCGGAUAGGACCGCAUGCUUCAUGGUGUGUGGUGCAAAGCUUUUGCGGUGUGGGAUGAGCCCGCGGCCUAUCAGCUUGUUGGUGGGGUAAUGGCCUACCAAGGCGACGACGGGUAGCCGGCCUGAGAGGGUGACCGGCCACACUGGGACUGAGAUACGGCCCAGACUCCUACGGGAGGCAGCAGUGGGGAAUAUUGCACAAUGGGCGCAAGCCUGAUGCAGCGACGCCGCGUGAGGGAUGACGGCCUUCGGGUUGUAAACCUCUUUCAGUAGGGACGAAGCGAAAGUGACGGUACCUACAGAAGAAGGACCGGCCAACUACGUGCCAGCAGCCGCGGUAAUACGUAGGGUCCGAGCGUUGUCCGGAAUUACUGGGCGUAAAGAGCUCGUAGGUGGUUUGUCGCGUUGUUCGUGAAAACUCACAGCUUAACUGUGGGCGUGCGGGCGAUACGGGCAGACUAGAGUACUGCAGGGGAGACUGGAAUUCCUGGUGUAGCGGUGGAAUGCGCAGAUAUCAGGAGGAACACCGGUGGCGAAGGCGGGUCUCUGGGCAGUAACUGACGCUGAGGAGCGAAAGCGUGGGGAGCGAACAGGAUUAGAUACCCUGGUAGUCC
RNAcentral lists this ribosomal RNA (771 nucleotides) under uncultured bacterium. RNAcentral's name for it is "bacterial SSU rRNA". It matches the Rfam family "Bacterial small subunit ribosomal RNA", at positions 8 to 796 of the family's 1533-position model. The record is from RNAcentral.